This 253-nucleotide ribosomal RNA is filed under the name uncultured bacterium. Its description in RNAcentral is "partial 16S ribosomal RNA". It matches the Rfam family "Bacterial small subunit ribosomal RNA", at positions 524 to 776 of the family's 1533-position model. The record is from RNAcentral.
UACGGGGGGGGCAAGCGUUGUUCGGAAUUACUGGGCGUAAAGGGCUCGUAGGUGGCCAACUAAGUCAGACGUGAAAUCCCUCGGCUUAACCGGGGAACUGCGUCUGAUACUGGAUGGCUUGAGUUCGGGAGAGGGAUGCGGAAUUCCAGGUGUAGCGGUGAAAUGCGUAGAUAUCUGGAGGAACACCCGUGGCGAAGGCGGCUCUCUGGUCCGAAACUGACGCUGAGGUGCGAAAGCUAGGGUAGCAAACAGG